Molecule: long non-coding RNA, 115 nt
Organism: Clupea harengus (Atlantic herring)
Lineage: Eukaryota; Metazoa; Chordata; Actinopteri; Clupeiformes; Clupeidae
Exons: 2
Source: RefSeq, a predicted model, not a curated record
GGCCAGAGUCAACAUGGUGAUCUGAAGCACAUAUUCCAGGUGUUAGAGGAGAAGAUCAUCACCUUUGUGAAGAAUGAGCUGAAGAGAUUCAAGAGGAUGCUGAGUCCAGAUUACC